Molecule: non-coding RNA, 1091 nt
Organism: Nylanderia fulva
Lineage: Eukaryota; Metazoa; Arthropoda; Insecta; Hymenoptera; Formicidae
Source: RefSeq, a predicted model, not a curated record
AAUAUGGCGACAUCGUUUACUUGCAGAUUUUUAUUUCCGUGUAACUUUCUGCAUUAAAAGUUGAAGAGAGAGAACUCGACUAUAAAGAAUAUUUUUAUUUCCGUGCAAUUUUCUGCGUUAAAAGUUGAGAAGAGAGAAAUCGGAGAACUUGAUUAUAAAAAAUUCUCUUGGAGCGUACGCCUUAGACUUUCACCGAAAGGAACUCUUAACCGUUCAUUCAUAAAUUGAUGAUUGAAGGUUCUCCUGUUCUCCGUUUGGUCACGAGUGAUAUGCUCAUGCGCGUUUCACGCGUAGCGGCACGAGAGAGAUCAACUCUACUCUUUAUAACGUUUUUUUCUUGAAUAUUACAUCGCAGAGAGUCACGACAGAGCUAAAUGCACGCGAGCACAGCCUAUCAUGAAAAAGGAACAAGGGCAACGGUAGGAGAUUACAGCAGAAGAAGAAGCUGUGGCACGUGACCCCGAAGAACACCAGAGUCAACUCGCUUAAGUAGCCGAGCUCUGCUCUUUGACCCAGCCGACAAUUUCAAAUUAUGUCUCUCGGAGGGAGAGUGGGACAGAGAGAUAGAGAGAGAGAGAGAGAAAAGAAGGAGAGAGCGGAUAUAUACUAUAGUCAGAAACAUACUCCCCUCCUUGCAAUGAAGGUAUAUGAAAUACUGCCAAUGUUUCCGCGGCGAGAUAAAUUCGCGAGAAGGACUCGCGGCCAACUGGAGAAUCGCUGAAGACUGCAACAACGUGCGUAGUUGUAGUUUGCUGAGGAAGACAAAUGAUCCACUCGGACGCGAGACAGUUAGCGUACGGCGGAGAGGCGUCGUUGGCCACGAAGAAGCGCCUCUUGGUUCGCCCUAGGGCACGCCGAGCCGAGGCUCGCUCGCUUGAUCUCCAUUGCCAUUAUGAUAUUAAUGAAAUGCCGCUAAAAAGGUGUGUUUGCUCGGUAACACGAGGCCCGUAGCCAGGGUGGGAGGAGGCGAGAUAGAUGUUAAACCUACGUAAAAUGCUCUUACCCGAUAUGGGCGCGCGCACGCCUGUGAUUAUGCCACCGCCGUAGAGAUUUAGAGUGUUGUCGUAGCUGUUUCCGUCGUUGUCGUCAUC